Molecule: long non-coding RNA, 884 nt
Organism: Helianthus annuus (common sunflower)
Lineage: Eukaryota; Viridiplantae; Streptophyta; Magnoliopsida; Asterales; Asteraceae
Exons: 6
Source: RefSeq, a predicted model, not a curated record
UGGUAAUUCAAAAAGGAUGACGGCGAUUCAAGCCGAUUGGUGAAGAUUUCACAAAAUCAAUGUCGGGUUCAGAUUUACAGGGGGUUCGGCUUUAUGACCUUUGCUGAGGACGGUGUUGCAGAUCGUGUUUCAAGAAGGUCACACGAGAUUUGUGGACAACAGUUAGUCGCCGGUAGUGCUACUUCUUGAUUUUUGUCUUAACUUAACUUCUCGUAAGCUACCCAUUGCAGUUCAUCACUGAUACUUUAUAAGGUGGGCGGGUGAUCAAGAAUGGGAAACGUGCGCACAUGAAAAUAGUGUUGGGUGGAUGGAGAUGGCUGAGCCGGUUAUGAAUCUUUGUACAAAAACUAUUGAUGGUUCUUAUAUUGAAAAGAAAGAAACUAGAAUGGUUUGGUACUAUGAAGAUGUUGACAAAGAUUUUGGGUCGGAACAGGCUAAGUAACAUAUCCUAAUUCCUAAUUCCAUUCAAUCAGAUGUCCUUCGUCUCCAACGCCGCCCUCAAAACCCUAGCUUACGCAUCUUCUCCAACAUAUCGAUAAUGGCGAAUUAUGAGGUUGAUCUUAAUAUUCUUUAUCUGUCGUUUUUACUUGCUAUAUUCCCUUAUUCUCUCAAUCCUCUCAAGAUCCAUAAUUGCUCUCUACUUGCAGACAUCAAACACCGAUUUUACAUCUUCAAGAUCUAGAGUUUUGUGUUCAAGCUUCUAUAUCUGAUUUCUAUUGUUAAAGCUUCUAUCAAGGUAUGUGUUUCUGAUUUUUUGGUUUACUAAUUAGUUGAACAACUGUUGUCUUUACACGAUUGAUGUAAGAUCUCUAAUUUCUAUUUGUCGAUCAAAAGCAUGUUCACUUCGGGUCUAUUCGAGUGACUUAAAUGGUAUUUAAUUGGUC